Molecule: microRNA precursor, 67 nt
Filed under: Chlorocebus sabaeus (green monkey)
Lineage: Eukaryota; Metazoa; Chordata; Mammalia; Primates; Cercopithecidae
Description: miRNA (ENSCSAG00000026100.1)
Source: RNAcentral
GGUUCUCCUCUCCACAGAGAGCUGAUCACUUGUUGGGAUGACCUGCCUGUGGAAAGGAGCUACCCAC